AUUGCGGGACCCGCUCCUAAUGGUGGACGUGUUUGUUCCCACGUGGCACAUCGUUUGCACACAGGUAAAAUGGCUACCAUUUUUUUUGUCAUUGCUUUUUUGUAUGUAUUUUUAUUCGAACUACACACGGGUUUUACUGACGACUUGCUGUGACUUACCUUCUACCACCCUAUCAAACGUCGUUUUAUACCAGUGGUUUUCCUGUAAAUCAGUAGACUAUUAAGUAACGCGAUGGCCAUACACUUUUAAGCAAUAACUAGUGAUCUUUUAGUUAUUCAAUUAUAAGUUUGAAUUAUUUUUUUCUUGAGUAAAAUGGUUAGAGAAAAUAGCUGCCCGUGGUUUUGAAGCUGCAUAUACUUUUAUGUACAUCUGUGUCUAUAUGCCUGUACUGUAUACAGUAUAUAAAAAAACACGUAGUGAUUCAUUUGCUUGAAUUCCUUAAUCCUUUUAUUUCCAUACUUUAGGUAGACGAGGAAGACCAGGACUUGACAUUACAAGGGAUCAAAUUGAACUGCUCCCCACUCAGGGCUUUACAGUGAGAGCGAUCACGGGGAUGUUGGGUUGUUCCUCUUCAUACCUGCAUAAAAAAAAAGAAGUUUUUUUCAGAUUUCAGCCAGAAAUAGAUUUACUCCCAUUCAUGAUGUUGACCUGGAGGAGCAUGUCAGAAGAUUGCACAGCCAAUUUCCCAGAUCAGGCUCGGAAAUGAUGAGGGCAUACCUGUGUGCUGAUGGUAUUGUAGUAUAAAGAAAAAGAGUUCGAGAAAUCCUGAACCGUAUUGAGCCAGCUGCUGCAGCCCAUAGAUGGAGCCAGACUUUGGCUAGAAGAACAUACUAUGUGCCAUUCCCCAAUAGUUUAUGGCACAUAGAUGGGCAUAUGCGUCUCAUUCGGUGGGGGUUUGUGACACAUGCUGGCAUUGAUGGGAAUUCCAGGCUAAUAACGUACCCUCAACUGCAGCACAGACAACACAGCUUUGACAGUGUUGAAAUAUUUUGUCCAAGCCACCUGCCUGUAUGGGUUACCCUCCAGAGUAAGAUCCGACCAUGGUGGUGAAAACACGGGUUGCUCUUUUAAUGAACCUACUGCAGGGACAAGACACCAAAAUUAUUUCUAGCUCCAGCCAACACCCCCUCACAAUUUACUCACACCUCCCAUGGCCUGAUUAUCUACCAACAGGGGCCCUUUUUGGAUUAUCAUUUUGGCAUAGGAACUUUCCUAUCCUAACCGAGUGAGAUGAGCCGGUAGCACCUGGAGCAAAGAUCGUCUAAAUUUUAAUAAUGCUUAGGAAAGGUUCUGAUCAUUCUUUACGAAAAGAAAGGAGAUAUAUUAUGCAGCAGGAAUAUUUAAAGGGGAAGUCUUUUUUUAUUUUUAAUGCCUUUACAAUCAUACAUUCUAUGCACAUACACUGGUCUAAACAUGGUAUUCAGAUUAAUUUUACCUUUGUGGAAUAUGAAUUAUGCAGAAAAUCUCACUUGUUUUUAUCCAAAUCAGGGGGCUAACAUUUUGUACUUGCUAUUGACCGAACAGUACAUCACAGUUUCUGUGAGGACAAAAUUUCUGGUUCUGUCACAGUCCACCGGAAGCAGAAAUUGCUUUCACAUCGCGCAGCUGUAACUUGGGCCGAUCACAAGUGCUGUUGUUGUUGUUGUUGUUGUCGACCCCACCCGUGCCCCGACAUUGGGGGACCGGGCCCUCACUCCGUCUCCCGGAUCCCCAGACCCCCCUCCUCCGCCCAGCGGGCGAGCAGGGCCGCCACUCCGCUUGGGUUUCGCCAGAGGUCCUCCGGAGUCAGUGUGGUGGGUAUGUUUGUGCAGGUGAACAGGUGUUGUGUGUCGUGCACUUGCGUGCCGCAUAGCGCACAGAGUGGUGUUGGGUGUGUGUCCGGUGUAAUGUUGUGUAGGUAGGAGUGGAGGGCUGGUGAUUUGUUGGUUCGGAGUUGUGCUAGGAGUUGUCUGGUUCUGUGUGGUAGGUCUUGCUCUGAUGGGUCUAUUUCUGGUG
This is a long non-coding RNA of Hippocampus zosterae (dwarf seahorse), 1995 nucleotides long. RefSeq lists it as uncharacterized. The record is from RefSeq and is a predicted model, not a curated record. Lineage: Eukaryota; Metazoa; Chordata; Actinopteri; Syngnathiformes; Syngnathidae. The transcript is spliced from 3 exons.